AUUCGGAGUUUCUGAGUCCAGCAGUGGAGACUACAUUUGUAAGAAUCGACGUGACCGAUAUUCUUCAACAGAGUGGAGUGAAGCCAUCACAUUGUCAGUAUCAAAUCAACCAAAGGCUCAAAUAACGUCUGAUAUGAGACACGUUCCAGUAGGGGGCAAUAUGACCCUGAAAUGUUCAGUGAACCCAUCAUCAUAUGGAUGGAAAUACUACUGGUACAGAGAUGAGAACUGGUCUGAACCCCUGACCACACAAGAUGCAGUUUUCCACUCAAAUGGACAAAUCACAGUCUCACAGGAAGGACUCUACAGAUGCAGAGGAGGCAGAGGAGACCCAGUUUACUACACAGAGGACAGUGAGCCCUUCAACAUUGAUAAAAUGCUACGUCCAGUUCUUCAUUUCUUGUUCUGAUGAUCACGGGACUCAUUUCUGGAAUCAUAUUUAUUUUCCUCCUGUUCCUGUUCCUGUACAAAAAGAAAUGUUCUGCUGAUGACCCGAGGGUGAGUCAGGAUGAAAAUCAACAGCAAGUCUACUCCUCUCUUCUUCAUGGUGAGGAUUCUGUCUAUGAAACAAUCAGAGACUCUGGAAAUACUCAAAAUGCUGGGUGACCUGUGUGAUGUAGGUCCAGUGGGUCCUUCUUGUGGAAACUCAACGAUUCUUUCUAUCCAAAGUGGGCGAACUAUGAGAAGUGACAGUAGUUUGAUCAUCUCCUUUCCUCAUAACUGAAAACUUAUUCUCACUCUCAACCAUCAGACCUUUGUCAGGUCCCAUUCACUCAUAUUUGCCACCAUUCACGGACCAUCAAGUUGCAAACUAUGGGCACAAAUAUACAUUAACCUUUUCGAGUAAAGUAUUUAGUUUUAACGUUUAGCUAAACAUCCGAAAUAUGUUUUAAAAAUGUUUCUCUGAUGUUUUGUUUAUAUAUUAUUUAUGUUUUAAUUUCUCACUAAUGUAAAAAAAAGUCCAUAUCCAAAAAUGACCAUGCAAACGUUAAAUAUAAGUGAGGCAACUCUCUAAAAGGUUCAUUAAUUACAUUACCUG
Long non-coding RNA from Oreochromis niloticus (Nile tilapia), 1039 nucleotides. RefSeq lists it as uncharacterized. The transcript has 6 exons. Lineage: Eukaryota; Metazoa; Chordata; Actinopteri; Cichliformes; Cichlidae. The record is from RefSeq and is a predicted model, not a curated record.